Molecule: ribosomal RNA, 253 nt
Filed under: uncultured bacterium
Lineage: Bacteria
Description: partial 16S ribosomal RNA
Rfam family: Bacterial small subunit ribosomal RNA
Source: RNAcentral
UACAGGGGGUGCAAACGUUGCUCGGAAUUAUUGGGCGUAAAGCGCACGUAGGCGGUUCGUUAUGUCAGAUGUGAAAGCCCUUGGCUCAACUAAGGAAGUGCAUCUGAAACUGGCGAGCUAGAGUAUGUAAGAGGGUCGCGGAAUUCCCGGUGUAGAGGUGAAAUUCGUAGAUAUCGGGAGGAACACCGGUGGCGAAGGCGGCGACCUGGGACAAUACUGACGCUGAGGUGCGAAAGCGUGGGGAGCAAACAGG